Molecule: ribosomal RNA, 253 nt
Filed under: uncultured bacterium
Lineage: Bacteria
Description: partial 16S ribosomal RNA
Rfam family: Bacterial small subunit ribosomal RNA
Source: RNAcentral
UACGGGGGGGGCAAGCGUUGUUCGGAAUUACUGGGCGUAAAGGGCUCGUAGGCGGCCAACUAAGUCAGACGUGAAAUCCCCAGGCUCAACCUGGGAACUGCGUCUGAUACUGGAUGGCUUGAAUCCGGGAGAGGGAUGCGGAAUUCCAGGUGUAGCGGUGAAAUGCGUAGAUAUCUGGAGGAACACCGGUGGCGAAGGCGGCAUCCUGGACCAAUUCUGACGCUGAGGAGCGAAAGCCAGGGGAGCAAACGGG